Molecule: ribosomal RNA, 468 nt
Filed under: uncultured bacterium
Lineage: Bacteria
Description: partial 16S ribosomal RNA
Rfam family: Bacterial small subunit ribosomal RNA
Source: RNAcentral
GAUGAACGCUGGCGGCGUGCUUAACACAUGCAAGUCGAACGGUGAAGGCGGAGCUUGCUCUGCUGGAUCAGUGGCGAACGGGUGAGUAACACGUGAGCAAUCUGCCCCUGACUCUGGGAUAAGCGCUGGAAACGGCGUCUAAUACUGGAUACGAGCUGCGAAGGCAUCUUCAGCAGCUGGAAAGAACUUCGGUCAGGGAUGAGCUCGCGGCCUAUCAGCUUGUUGGUGAGGUAACGGCUCGCCAAGGCGUCGACGGGUAGCCGGCCUGAGAGGGUGACCGGCCACACCGGGACUGAGACACGGCCCAGACUCCUACGGGAGGCAGCAGUGGGGAAUAUUGCACAAUGGGCGAAAGCCUGAUGCAGCAACGCCGCGUGAGGGACGACGGCCUUCGGGUUGUAAACCUCUUUUAGCAGGGAAGAAGCGAAAGUGACGGUACCUGCAGAAAAAGCGCCGGCUAACUACGUG